UCCUUCAGCUCCGGUGAAGUUCCUGGACAAGGCAAGGACACUGCUCUUUUUGAAGAAACUCUGCUUGGCCGCGUUCAGAAGACUUUUGUCUGGGUCUGCUCACUGGAAGGCGGAAAGCUGACUUGUCUUAAAUUUUUGAGGACCCAGCAGUGCCUGUGGGUGGAAGGGAAAACUAACGAAGAAGCCCCUAUGGAAGCUUUUGGGGAAUGACACCAUUGUGAGCCACAUCCUUCUGAAGGAUGGGGUUCUUGGUACAAGGGCCAUGAUUAGAGCAGGUAGGAGAGGCACCGGGUAAGUUAUUCUGCUUCUGGCUGCCUGGUGGGAUUUUACUGACUAUCAGAGAUGACCAGCUAAGCUGAUGGCAUAUAAUGGGGACAGGAUGAGGAAGUGGAACAGCAGACUGACUCUCCCUCUUAACUUCUGGAAGAAUGCACGGGUCACACAGGUGAGACUAGGACCCAGGUCAAUGGGAAGAGAUGGAGGAGGAAGUCUGGGCCUCGGAGCCAGGAGACUGGACUAUCAGUCUUAUCAUCGAGGUGUUGUGUGACCUUGGGCAAGUUGUCUUACCUCCUAAGCCAUAGAUUCUCUCCCCGUUGGACGAGGAUUUUGAACUGGGUAGGCUCCAGGGCCCUGAUAUUUUCUGAAUCACAAUAAGUUAUGAAGUGAGGCCUUCAGGCAAGUCCCCUUGUUUAUAGUGGCAGAGCAAUGGGUAAAUGCCGUGGCAGAUCUUUGGAUAACUGAGGAGAGGUGGGGGGUGGGAUGGGGAGAGGGUGCACAAGAGCAUUAAUUGCAAAGACAGAGUCCUGAAGACAAGCUAUAGGAUCUCCCAUCCAGGCUCUCCCCUCUGCCAGCCUCUGCUGGGGGAUGUCACGGGCACCUCAGUCCUCUGGGACGUUUCAAAGAGUCAGGAGAGGCCAGGCCAGGCUGCAGUAACAAAUCGAUACUGAAAUCUUAGUGGCUUAACCCAAACCAAAGUUUGUUUCUUGCUCACAGAAUUCUGGUGAGCAGCUGCCCUCCAAGUGAUGACUGAGCAAUUCAUACUUUUUCUAUCCUGUAGCUCUGCUGUCUUUACACACUGCUUUCUGAGUCAGGGCUGCAGAGCGUGAAACACGCACACUAGCUUUUAACUAUAUAUAACUCGUACUCAUGGGCCAUUCGCCAGAAUGGUCUCGUGGCUCCAACUCAACCAAGGGGACAGGGUAGUAAAUCCCCCACGUACCUAGGAAGAAAAGAAGAACAUGUUAGUGAGUCCUGACCUGGAGAGGAUCCAGCUCCUGUAACGACUGAGGCCUUGUGAGUAUUCCAAGGAACUCCGUCCACUGCCUGUGACUUAGAACAUCUGCGUGAAUACAGAAAAGUUCAGCCGGACACCUGGAUGCUCUGUCCAGUCGAUACUCGACAUCUGAGGGUUUCCAGAAGCCUCCAAGCCUGGGGCCACGUCUGCACAGUUCAGGGAGAGGAAGUUUGACUCACUUGAGUUAUUUGAUCCAUGUGGACAGGCGCUGUGGGUCCCCAGGAAGCCACAGCAGCAUUCUUGAUCGCCCAGUGGUCUGUGGCUGAGGUUUCUGCCGAGAUCAUUGCCAAAGCCCACUUCCUUGUGUUCUGGAGAUUUCAGGCAUCGCUAAAACUGUCCUCUCACCUGCCCCGAAUCCACCUGCAAUGGACAGUGAGGCUGCUUCCUCAGCAUCCGUCUCCUCUUCUUCUAGGAGCUACCUCAGUUCACACUUCACCAUCCCCCCUUGCCUGCACAGUCCAAGCUUUUAGGGGAACUUCUGAUGGUGAGGCAUGUGGCUCAUACCUGGAAUAAUCACGAUAAUCCCUUCCCCACUGCUGGCCACAGUUACACACUCAGAGUUAGACACAUGGUCCAAUUGGGGAUCUGAUGAGGCCUUCCAGCCAUGAGAGAGGGACCUCUCUCUCUGAGCUAUGAGGAGGUGUUGGCAACCUUCGUGUGACCCUGAGAAGGACCCAAAUCAGGAUACAGCUGACAGCAGAAAAACUGAAACUUGAUGGCAUCAUUGAGCUGCUGGAUUAAACCAAACCUGCAGCCCACCCUCACUUUGAACUUGCAGUUGAAUGAAAAUAAGCCAAGUCUGAGAGAAAUCUUUGCAAAUUGUAUAUCUGAAAAAGGACUUGUUAAUAAAGGAUGAAGAACUCUCAAAACUCAACAAGAAGAAAACAAACCACUCAGUUUAAAAAUGCGCAAAAGUUUGAACAGACUCUUCACCAAAGACGAUAUCUGGGUGGCAAAUAAGCACAAAAAACGUGCUCCAUUUUAUUAGUUGUUAGGGAAAUGCAAACUUAAACCACAAUGAAAUAUCAUUAUAUACCUACUAGAAUGGCUAAAAUUAGUGAGUGACCAUAACAAGUAUGUUGGUAUAUUAGUCAGGGUUUUCCAGAGAAACAGGACCAAUAGGAUGUAUAUGAGGAUAUUUACUAUAGGAAUUGGCUCCUGCUGUUAUGGAGGCUGAGAAGUCCCACAGUCUGCCUUCUGCCAGCUGGAGAACCAGGUAAGCUGCUGGUGUAAUUCAGUCUGAGUCCAGAAGCCUGAGAACCAGGACCCCCAAUGUCCAAGGGCAGGAGCAGAUGGAUGUCCCAGCUCAAGAAGAGAGAGAAAGAGACAGAGAAUUUGCCCUUCCUCCACCUUUUUGUUCUAUCCCGACCCUUGGUGGACUGGAUGAUGCCCCCCAAU
RNAcentral lists this long non-coding RNA (2692 nucleotides) under Equus caballus (horse). RNAcentral describes it as "lncRNA (ENSECAG00000059871.1)". Lineage: Eukaryota; Metazoa; Chordata; Mammalia; Perissodactyla; Equidae. The record is from RNAcentral.